GACACUGAACAUAAUAAAGAAAUAACUUUGAGCCAGAUGAAGUUAAGAGGCCUCUGGAAGUAGCUGAGUUUUGUUUCUGGAGUGGCUUGGCAAACCAUGUGUCUCUUCCAAGCCCCAGCCUUCUCGAUAGUAACGUGAGGCUCAUCCUAAGAGAGUUUACUUGAGGUUGUAAGAAAUGACCAAGGAAGGGGCUCCAUGGCACUUUGCAAAUACCUGGGACUAUGGCAACGUGGAAGACUGAUACCGGUGAGCAGUGACAGAAGGCGUAGAUGAGUGAUUCACAGCCCUGGCUCCGCGUGAGAAAGAGCUGGGAAGCUUUCCUGGCAACGGCUGGGAGUUAAUGCCCACUCACGUGAGUUAUAAAAUAGUCCUCAGGUAUUUCUGCCGCACAAAGGCUUGAAAACCACUGGUACAUGACGUGGGGACUGAUGUCCGUCAAUAAUAGGUAGAAAGAACGGGGCGAAGAAACAGGUUGAGGUAAGGUAAUAAAGGAUGAGAAGAAAAUGAACAUGAAGUAAAAGGUGGGGCACCAGGGCAGCUCUGUCGGUUAAGUGUCCGACACUCGGUUUCAGCUCUGGCCAUGAUCUCACAGUUUGUGAGUUUGAACCCCAAGUCGGGCGCUGGGCUGACAGCGCGGAGCCUGCUUGGGAUUUCUUUCUGUCCCUCUCUCUGCCCCUCCCUGGCUUGCUCGCUCUCUCGCUCUCUCUCUCUCUCUCUCAAACAAUAAAUAAGCAUAACAAAUUUUAAAGUAAGGAAAUGAAGUAAAAGAUAAAAAUGUUUAGGGGAAAGGAAGUGACUGACGUGGCAAAUCACCAAGGACCAGAGAAAGAAGAAAUGAAAGGGAGCUAGUUUCUUGGUUUAAGUAUGGCAUGCAUGACACAGGUGGAGAACCCUGCCAUAGCUGCGUGAGGAACAUGUGAAGCAUCCUCUGGAUAAUCGGAAAAGGGUUGUUUGGGAGGAAAGAAAAAAAAAAAAUGAGGGUAGUCUGAUGCAGAAAAACGUGGGGAAGGCCAAGUACAGAGUCUCUGCUUUUCUCAGACUCUAGGAGAAUAGCCAGGAACUGUUUUCUCAUCCGUCAGUGGUUAGAGACAAGCAGGGAUGGGCCCCCUCUCCUCAGUAAGAAGCUGGUGUCAGGACCCCUGGCCAAGGGUCGUUAGUUCCCACCGGGCACAGAGGUUGGGCUGGGCCUCUCCGGGGCGCAAGCCACGGACCUGCUACAGCAGGCACUUUCUCCAGAAAUAUGGCUGCAAAGAAAACUAAUACGCGACAACAUCCAGUAGAUCAGAAAAAUGUGUUUUGGAGACACUGCCUGGAGGAUUUAUGAAAGCAUUCAGUCACAAUAUCAUCACGGGAGAGGCAGUAAGUAGCGUUCAGAGAGAAACAGGUGGAUAGAUUGAUGAAAUGCGAGAAGGCAAGGCGGAUGGCGGAGAGGCCUCAGCGGCCAUGUUGGAGGGUAAAAGCUGGAGAUGAGAAGGUCCUUUUAAGAACAGAAAAGCUGCUAGAAAAGGCUGAGAGAAAGCAGGUGUCAAAAAAAAAUGACGAAAGAAAUGUGAGACUGGAAGAAAGUUACGAAGGAAUGGGGAUCCGGUCCCUACAGGCCAGGGAAGCGGUUCUAAAACUUUGGCAUGCAUUCAGCCCACCCUGGAUGGUUGUUGAAAGGCACAUCCUCAGACCCCAUUCCAGACCCUCAGAUUCAGAGGGUCUGGAAUGGGAUAGCUCCAAGAAUUCCCAUUUAAGAUACCAAAGUGGAACAAAUGAGGGCUGCGGGUGGAGGAAACUUGGAGGAAUACUGGCCUCAGUUAUUCAUACCAGUGUCAUUUUACUGUGGUUACGUACUUAGAGACAACAGGAAUUCUUUCUGCCCUAACGUCAGGCACAAAUACGUGCACAUCAAUCAGUCUCCACACUGGUGACCAGGAGAGUGGAGAGGGUGAGACUUCACGGGCAGCCCAAGCACAGUCCCCACCCACCACUUCCCCCCCGCCACUCCCCACCCCCCCAAAAAAGCUUGAGAGCAAAGUCUUGGUUCUCUCUUAGUAGACUGGAUAGUUAACAUUUAUAUAAAGCACAAAAACUGAGGGGAGAAAAGCAUUUUCUGUGCAACAUCUCUUUGUUGCCCCAAGUAUGUGAUGUGCUAAGAUUAAAAAACAAAACAAAACAAAACAAAACUGUGGGAAAAGUUGCUAUUCCUUG
Molecule: long non-coding RNA, 2193 nt
Organism: Leopardus geoffroyi (Geoffroy's cat)
Lineage: Eukaryota; Metazoa; Chordata; Mammalia; Carnivora; Felidae
Exons: 2
Source: RefSeq, a predicted model, not a curated record